AUGGCCAACGGCYGAACCAGCMACUUGCCGGAAUGAGAGYUAAUAUAAGAGAUUUAUUAACUUGCUUGACUAGGUCUUAUAAAGUUCUGGAUAAAGCUGAUAAUGACAACUUUAUAUCCAUAGGUCUCGACUAAAUCUUGUGCCAGCAGUCGCGGUAAGACAAGGGAGACGAGUGUUAUUCAUCUUGAACAGGUAUAUUGGGUACCUAGACUGUGUAUAUAGGCUUUUAUAGUACCUUAUACACUAGAGUUUAAUAUGUAGGAGGGAGAUGUCAGAAUUAUUAGUGUAGAGAUGAAAUCCUUUGAUACUAUUAGGACUGAUUAAGGCGAAGGCAAACCUUUAUGUAUAUGUACUUUAGCUAAAUAUCAUAAAUUAUAUAUAUAAUUUAUAGCUAAUAAGUUAAGUACUGAACUGACGUUGAGGGACGAAGGCUCAGAGAGUGAAGAGGAUUAGAUACCCCCGUAGCCUGGGCAGACAAUGAUGAGUGCCAUAGGUUGGCUCUAAGUUGAACUAUAAAUGAAAGUGGAAGCACUCCACCUCAAGAGUAAUGUGGCAACGCAGGAACUGAAAUCAUUAGACCGUUUCUGAAACCAGUAGUGAAGUAUGUUAUUUAAUUCGAUGAUCCGCGAAUAACCUUACCACAAUUUGAAUGUUCUAGUUUUUAUAUAGUUUAUAGUAUGGUUAAUUUAGGGUUUAUACUUAAUUAUAAUCAUUAUUUAAAAUUAUAUUCUYUAGAUCACAUGCGUUGCAUGGCUGUCUUCAGUUAAUGUCGUGAGAUUUGGUUAGGGAYGGUMAMAAMAUKKAMRCCCUUGUUUUAUUUAAUARAAUARKWCAGCUCUCCGCCUACAACUGGAUUGUAUAACAGGGASUAAGACAAGUCAUCAHGGCCUUAAUAUUGUGGGCKAUAGACGUGCCACAUGUGCCUUUACAAAGGGAUGCRAURAUGSSAAUUGGAUGGWGAUCCCGUAUAAUAGGAAAUAGUAU
Molecule: ribosomal RNA, 984 nt
Filed under: Westerdykella cylindrica
Lineage: Eukaryota; Fungi; Ascomycota; Dothideomycetes; Pleosporales; Sporormiaceae
Description: partial small subunit ribosomal RNA
Rfam family: Bacterial small subunit ribosomal RNA
Source: RNAcentral